Molecule: long non-coding RNA, 3865 nt
Organism: Mustela lutreola (European mink)
Lineage: Eukaryota; Metazoa; Chordata; Mammalia; Carnivora; Mustelidae
Exons: 2
Source: RefSeq, a predicted model, not a curated record
UCUCUUCCUAGAAAGGGAAAUACAAAGUCAAAUUCUUCAGGUGUCUAGUUCAGCACGGUGCACCAGUACUUUCUGCAGUGAUGCAAAUGUUCUAAUCUGUGCUGUCCAAUAUGGCGGCCAUUAGCACUUAAGAUGUGAUCAGUGUGAGUGACAUAUGAAAUUUUUAGUCAUAAUUUUAAAAAUUAUGUUUAAAUAGACAUGUUGGGGCACCUGGGUGGCCCAGGCAUUAAGCAUCUGCCUUCGGCUCAGGUCAUGAUCCCAGAGUUCUGGGAACGAGCCCCGUAUUGGGCUCCCUGCUCAGCAGGAAACCUGCUUCUCUCUCUGCCCACUCCCCCUUCUGGUGCUCCCUCUAUUGCAGUCUCUCUCUCUGUCAAAUAAAUAAAUAAAAUCUUAAGAAUAAAUAAAUAAAUAAAUAAAUAAAUAGCCACAUGUGACUAGGGACUACCGUACUGGACAGUGCAAGCCAAGAUGAACAUAGUAUUAAAAUCUGAGAAACAGGGACGCCUGGGAAAUUUCUAGCAAUUAAUGAUAAAGUGCUUUCCAUGACUUCUAGAGUCUGGCUAUAUUAAACUUAGUAACUAUUGAUAUGUAAGUCCCUGAUUUAGAAACCCAAAUCAAGAAUUUAGAAUUUUUUAACUUAUUAAUCAAUUCCAGUAUAGUGAACGCACAUUGUUAUAUUGGUUUCAGACGAACCAUCCUGGAACUCAAGACCUCCACACAACACCCAGUGCUCCUAACGACUGGUGCACUCCUCCAUCCCUGGCCCCCAUUUCCCCUCUGGGAAUCAUCAGUUUGUUCUCUAUAGUUAAAGAGUCUAUUUCUUGCUUUAUCUCUCUAUUUUCCCUUUGCUUGUUUUGAUUCUUAAAUUCCACAGAUGAGUGAAAUCAUAUGGUAUCUCUCUUUCUCUGACUGGUUUAUAAAGUGGCUAUUUCUAUGCAUAGAAUGGCUUUCCAAUCUAAGUACCAAAGGCAGGCGAAGGGUGCUCUAUUCAAAAUGGCAUCCUGCAUCACUUAAAAUAAUGAAGAGCUUAAUUUCUAACCUGGAAGUUCUUAGAGUUCAGUAAUUUUGGCCCAUGUGUGUUUGCUGUAGGAAAUGCACAACCAAUUAUGUCUAAUGGCCUGAUGCAGAAACAAAACGAUAUUUUCUUCCGGUUGUCUGAAACUCAUACUACUCCCAAAUGUCGAAGAAUUGUCAGUUAAUCACAGAAUUAAGAUCUGAGAAUUCAGAUGGAAAAAGUCUACAUCAAACUUAGAAGGGAAAAAUGAAUGGGGACUAUUGCUCAAGGGGAGCAAAAGUAUAGAAAUUAUUUCAAUUUGGAUUUGGAGAGUUAACAGAAUAAGGCUGAACAUGCUGGGAAGUUUUUGUUUCAGAUGCUGCUUAACUCCCAAAACCGGAACUGAUACUUUACGAUAAUUCAUGCACUAUAUAUGAGCAUAUGUAAUUACAAGUUUGUUUCUCAGGUAUGGCAAAGACUUUGACAUUGAAAGAUGGAAGUCUGUUAAAUGUUAACUUAGUAACAAUCUAUUACGGUCUACAUCGGUCAUAGGUUUAAGCUACAAAAAUACUCAAAGACUGCCCUUAUGUACGAUUGAACGCAGGCAGAGAAGAGGGUGUACAACUUCUUGGAAGGAGACAAUGCUUGAAAGUUUCCUAUUAAAUCCUUGUAUCUUCUAGGGGAAGAGUCUGGGGAACAAACUGGGGAACCUCCCACGUACUCAUUCUCCGUCUGUCCUCUUACUCUCUUUGGCGUUCUCUGCAAGAUGACAAAAUGCUAAGAUUUUGUCGCCUGCUGCUUCUCGAAGCCAGAGACUGCCCUAGACUUAUCUUCCACUCUUUAGUUUGUCACAGAAAUUCUCAGGUAUUGGAGUGGCCAUCUCGAUAAAAUCACUGCAUUGCUGGAGAACUGUUCCUUCUCAGAGUACACAAAGGCACUCAGUGAUCAUUCACUUUCGGCUUGGUGCUCAGGAGGUAAAGAUAGAGGACUGUGUGUCUGCAUGAAUGCUGAAAGAAAAGCUCUCUUAUACAGCCACCAUCCUUCCUUGUCCUCUUUUGAAAUGCUACAACGAUAUCAAGGACCAGGCUAAGGAAUUGGGAUGGUAGAGGGCAUAGAUUUUCAUUGAUUCUGCUCACUGAUCAACAUCCCAGUGCCUGCCAUGAAGUAGGCACUUGGCAAAUAUCUGUCAACUAAAUGAGCAGAUUAGGUGACUCUACUUUAUGGAUGAAGGAUGGAGCAUAUAUAUAUAUAUAUUUUUUUUCUUUUUUUAAGAGAGUUUUUUUUUUUUUUUUUAAAGAUUAUUUAUGACACAGAGAGAGACAGAGAGAGAAAGCCCAAGCAAAGGGAGCAGCAGGCACAGGGAGAGGGAGAAGCAGGCUCCCCAAGGAUCAGGGAGCCUGACACAGGGCUCAAUCCCAGGAACCCAGGAUCAUGACCUGAGCCGAAGGCAGUUGUUUAACCAACUGAGCCAGCCAAGCACCCUGAAGGUUGGUAUGUUUAACUACACACUAUGUCCACUAUCUUAGGCUCAUCCCACUUAUACUUGGAGAAAAACAUAUCCAAUGCCCAGAUGAAGUUAUUUUAUUCAGCAUUGUCUUAGCCUUAAAUCAUCCAUAAGGAAUAAUUCUGAGUAAACUUGCACUGGAAAAUAAAUGGCCCAUUAGGAACCACUUUAAAGAUUCUCACUGUGUGAGCUAAAACCUGGAGCAGAGGCAGUAAGUGGUCCAUUUCUACAGAACCUGCUGAUCUGAUGUCUGUCUGGAGAUCCCUGGGCCUAUGACUCAUCACAUUUUCAAAACUACAGAGCACAGUAAAAAUGAGACCCAGGUUUUUAAAUGGCUCCAGAGAAGGAUCUAUUUUAGUUCCUGAUUUCUGAAAUUCUAACCACGGGAAAAGUGCAGAUGGUAGGGACACCCAUUUUGUGAGGUCUGAGUUCAUCUCCAGUUAGGUCACCUGGGCCUCUCCUCAAGGUCCAAGCAGUUGAAAGGGAGAGACAGGUCAUUUUAGUAAAGGAGAGACAAUGGCCUUUUUGGAGACUCAGGGCCUGAAGGGAUGGACUAGUAAUAAUGCAUUUUAAAAAAAUAUUCAACAUCAGAGUUUCCCUUCCUUUGGGACAUUCUGAUGUCCCAACUGGAAAACAGACCUACUUCCCAACAAGAAACAGCCUCAGGCUUACUGACUUGAGUCAUAAACUUCUUUGUUGAGGCGUGCGGAGUGGUUAUAAUUUUGAGAAAUAAUUCUUGAUCCCUAAACUUUCACCCUUUCCCCUGACAGGGGAGCAGCUGAUACUGGGAAUUCUUUUGUUCUACAGAUACUCUGAAAAAGAAGCAUUUGCAAAGUGGGUGGUGGUGGUGGUGGUUGGCUCUGUGAAAACAAGUUUCCUUUUUAUAUUGCUUGUUGCUUAUCACAGCUCUUUCCAUCUUGCCUGUUCCCCCUUUGUCCACUGUCCCCUCAAACACCAAGUUCACAUGCGCACAAUGAAGUACAGAAGAAAAAAAUGGGUGCUAUCAGGGUUUCUGGAUGACCAGAUCGAAAAAAAGAAUGGCGUUCCUCUACUUUCCCCCUAAAUUGAUCUUUUAAUAUAUUUAUGUCAUAGACUUAGUGAGGGACUUCCUUAAAAUUAAUUAAAAGAACCACAGGGACACCUGGGUGGCUCAGCCAUUAAGCAUCUACCUUCGGCUCAGGUCAUGAUCCCAAGGUUCUGAGAUCGAGCCCCACACUGGGCUGCUUGCUCAGCACGAAGCCUGCUUCUCCCUUUCCCACUCCCCUUGCUUGUGUUCCCUCUCUUGCUGUCUCUCUCUCUGUCAAAUAAAUAAAUAAAAUCUUUAAAAAUAAAUAAAUAAAAGAACUACAAACAUAGGAUCACUGAAA